Molecule: ribosomal RNA, 465 nt
Filed under: uncultured bacterium
Lineage: Bacteria
Description: bacterial SSU rRNA
Rfam family: Bacterial small subunit ribosomal RNA
Source: RNAcentral
ACCAGACUCCUACGGGAGGCAGCAGUGAGGAAUAUUGGUCAAUGGCCGGGAGGCUGAACCAGCCAAGUCGCGUGAGGGAAGACGGCCCUACGGGUUGUAAACCUCUUUUGUCAGGGAGCAAGGUGCAGGUCGGGACCUGCUGUGAGAGUACCUGAAGAAAAAGCAUCGGCUAACUCCGUGCCAGCAGCCGCGGUAAUACGGAGGAUGCGAGCGUUAUCCGGAUUUAUUGGGUUUAAAGGGUGCGCAGGCGGAGGCACAAGUCAGCGGUAAAAUCGCGGGGCUCACCCCCGCUCCGCCGUUGAAACUGUGUCCCUUGAGUGCGCGAAGGGUAGGCGGAAUGCGUGGUGUAGCGGUGAAAUGCAUAGAUAUUACACAGAACACCGAUUGCGAAGGCAGCUUGCUAGGCCGGAUCUGACACUGAUGCACGAAAGCGUGGGGAUCGAACAGGAUUAGAUACCCCGGUAG